GGCGCUGUGGCGGAGUGGUUAUCGCGCAAGACUAGAAAUCUUGUUCCUUCGGGAGCGUGUGUUCAAAUCACACCGGCGUCG
This 81-nucleotide transfer RNA is filed under the name Melanomma pulvis-pyrius CBS 109.77. It matches the Rfam family "tRNA". Rfam says of the family: Transfer RNA (tRNA) molecules are approximately 80 nucleotides in length. Their secondary structure includes four short double-helical elements and three loops (D, anti-codon, and T loops). The record is from Rfam by way of RNAcentral. Lineage: Eukaryota; Fungi; Ascomycota; Dothideomycetes; Pleosporales; Melanommataceae.